UAGGGAAUAUUGGACAAUGGGCGAAAGCCUGAUCCAGCAACGCCGUGUGCGCGAUGACGGCCUUCGGGUUGUAAAGCGCUUUUUGAGGAGAUGAGAAAGGACAGUAUCCUCAGAAUAAGCCUCGGCGAACUACGUGCCAGCAGCCGCGGUAAAACGUAGGAGGCUAGCGUUAUCCGGAUUUAUUGGGCGUAAAGCGCGUGCAGGCGGUUUGAUAAGUUGGAUGUGAAAUCUCCCGGCUUAACUGGGAGCGGUCGUUCAAAACUAUCAGACUAGAGAAUGGGAGAGGAAGGUGGAAUUCCGGGUGUAGUGGUGAAAUGCGUAGAUAUCCGGAGGAACACCAGUGGCGAAAGCGGCCUUCUAGACCAUUCCUGACACUCAGACGCGAAAGCCAGGGUAGCAAACGG
RNAcentral lists this ribosomal RNA (404 nucleotides) under uncultured bacterium. Its description in RNAcentral is "bacterial SSU rRNA". It matches the Rfam family "Bacterial small subunit ribosomal RNA", at positions 355 to 775 of the family's 1533-position model. The record is from RNAcentral.